AAUUUUUAGUUACAUUAUAUUAGUUUUAUUUAUAAAAUAUUUAUACAGAACUGCUUACAAUAUUUUCACCAUUCAAACAUUUGUAUUGAACCGCAUGUUGUUUUUCACUAUUCUAAAUUAUCUGCAUUAGUAGAUCCGCUUGAUCCGCACAUAUUCCACAUAUUGCGUUUUUCCUUAAUAAACCGCAGUUAAACCGCACCGCACUAGUAAAUCUGCUUAAUCCGCACUACUCAAUCUGCUGUUUCCAUUCGAAGCCUCAGGAUGUGAAUGUUUACGGCGUUUAGGUGCGGAUCAUUAUAUGUGUCACCAUUUAACACUACUUUUUGUAUUUCAUUUUUAUUUAGAAA
RNAcentral lists this small RNA (347 nucleotides) under Arabidopsis thaliana (thale cress). RNAcentral's name for it is "ATSL260160". The record is from RNAcentral. Lineage: Eukaryota; Viridiplantae; Streptophyta; Magnoliopsida; Brassicales; Brassicaceae.